This 23-nucleotide small nuclear RNA is filed under the name Arabidopsis thaliana (thale cress). RNAcentral describes it as "snRNA_18871". The record is from RNAcentral. Lineage: Eukaryota; Viridiplantae; Streptophyta; Magnoliopsida; Brassicales; Brassicaceae.
AGACUCUAUAAACGACAGCUAUU